CUCGGUUGGCACUUGGACCUGGACACCUUCACCUCCCCCACCCCGCGUGGGGCCGUGACCUUCACCAACCUGGUGGCCACCUCGUCCCCUCCUGCCCCACAUCGUCUGGUCUUGGCUUGUCAUUACGACACCAAAAUCCUCCCGGCCCCACAAGUGACUCCGUUCAUCGGGGCCGUCGACUCCGCCGUCCCAUGCGCCAUCAUGAUGGAGGUGGCCGCUGCCCUGGAUGGAGCGUUAAGGAGAUAUAAUGAGGGGGACCCACAAGUGACCCUUCAGCUCCUGUUCCUGGAUGGAGAAGAAGCCUUUGAGGAAUGGAGCCCCACUGAUUCCAUCUAUGGGGCCCGGCACCUGGCUGCAAAGAUGGCGGCCACCCCACACGGAACCCAUGGGACUCAACUCAGUGCUAUGGUGAGGGACCCCAGUAUAGAGGGUGGGGGACACAAUGGGAUCGUGGGGACCCAAUUGGGAUCAUGGGGACCCAUAUGGGAUCAUAGGGACCCAUAUGGGAUCAUGGGGACCCAAUUGGGAUCAUGGGGACCCAAUUGGGAUCAUGGGGACCCAAUUGGGAUCAUAGGGACCCAAUUGGGAUCGUGGGGACCCAAUUGGGAUCAUGGGGACCCAAUUGGGAUCAUGGGGACCCAAAUGGGAUCAUAGGGACCCAAUUGGGAUCAUGGGGACCCAAAUGGGAUCAUAGGGAUCCAAUUGGGAUCAUAGGGACCCAAAUGGGAUCAUAGGGACCCAAAUGGGAUCAUGGGGACUCAAUUGGGAUCGUGGGGACCCAAUUGGGAUCAUAGGGACCCAGUUGGGAUCGUGGGGACCCAAUUGGGAUCAUGGGGACCCAAUUGGGAUCAUAGGGACCCGAAUGGGAUCAUGGGGACCCAAUUGGGAUCAUGGGGAUUCAAAUGGGAUCAUGGGGACCCAAAUGGGAUCAUGGGGACCUAUAUGGGAUCAUAGGGACCCAAAUGGGAUCAUGGGGACCCAAUUGGGAUCAUGGGGACUCAAUUGGGAUCAUAGGGACCCAAUUGGGAUCAUGGGGACCCAAAUGGGAUCAUAGGGAUCCAUUUGGGAUCAUGGGGACCCAAUUGGGAUCAUGGGGACUCAAUUGGGAUCAUGGGGACCCAAUAGGGAUCAUAGGGACCCGAAUGGGAUCAUGGGGACCCAAUUGGGAUCAUGGGGACCCAAAUGGGAUCAUAGGGACCCAAUUGGGAUCAUAGGGACCCAAAUGGGAUCAUGGGGACUCAAUUGGGAUCAUGGGGACCCGAAUGGGAUCACGGGGACCCAAUUGGGAUCAUGGGGACCUAUAUGGGAUCAUAGGGACCCAAUUGGGAUCAUGGGGACCCAAUUGGGAUCAUAGGGACCCAAUUGGGAUCGUGGGGACCCAAUUGGGAUCAUAGGGACCCAAUUGGGAUCGUGGGGAUCCAAUUGGGAUCAUGGGGACCCAAAUGGGAUCAUGGGGACCCAAUUGGGAUCAUGGGGACCCAAAUGGGAUCAUAGGGACCCAAUUGGGAUCGUGGGGACCCAAAUGGGAUCACGGGGACCCAAAUGGGAUCAUGGGGACCCAAUUGGGAUCGUGGGGACCCAAAUGGGAUCGUGGGGACCCAAUUGGGAUCAUGGGGACCCAUAUGGGAUCGUGGGGACCCAAUUGGGAUCGUGG
Long non-coding RNA from Coturnix japonica (Japanese quail), 1654 nucleotides. NCBI's taxonomy places the organism in Eukaryota, Metazoa, Chordata, Aves, Galliformes, Phasianidae. The record is from Ensembl.